AUGAAUGAAAAAGGUAUUAAAGCUGAGGAUGUUAAAAAUUUACCUCCUAUUGAAGAAAUACAUGGGCUUAAUACACCACCGCCACCUAAGGUAGUAGAGGUAAAUUCUCUAAUGAAAUUCAAUGAUAAUGACAAUCCACACAAUAUGCACCCUAGCCAAUGCCUUUAUGAGUUUGAAAAUUACAUUAGAAAACAAGAUCACUUCAAUGCAAAUGUUAUGAAACAACUGAAAUACAAUUCUGAUAUGAUUGCUCGCUUGAGUGAUUUGUUAUUUAGAAUCUCAAAUGAUGUUAGAGGUGUGGGGAAGCAUGCUUCUAUGGUUCAAACUCAGUUAGAACAAGUUGCUAAAUCUCAAAGAGAGUUGCUUGAUGAAAUGAAUAAUAAUAUGAAUGAUCAUGUUGUUAGAGUAAUGACUAGAGGAGGUAGGAUGACUCAGGAACCAGUUUAUCCCGAGGGACACCCAAAAAGAUUGAACAAGACUCUCAAAGAGGUAACACUGAUG
RNAcentral lists this ribosomal RNA (501 nucleotides) under Triticum aestivum (bread wheat). RNAcentral describes it as "partial small subunit ribosomal RNA". The record is from RNAcentral. Lineage: Eukaryota; Viridiplantae; Streptophyta; Magnoliopsida; Poales; Poaceae.